CCUGAGAAACCCAAAAGAUCGAAUGGGGAGAUUCAUCGCCAGCGUCGCUAGCUUCCGUGCGGUUCACGAUGACCGGGACCUUGGUCUCGCGUCACGCGUCCGCUGCGGUAUGUCCGGCUACGUCGGCGUGCACUUCUCCCCUAGUAGGACGUCGCGACCCGUUGGGUGUCGGACCGAUGAUCGUUUGGUCGCCUGUCUCGUCGCGUUAACGCGUGUACGUGGCAGACCGAAAUGGUCGAGCGUCCGGCUGCCCGGCGGUAUAGAACGCUAUUGAACGGUAAUGAGCCGCAUUAAGUGCGUUCAGGCUCGUCGGCAGGCUCGUCUCGCCCGGAUUUACGGACCUAGUGCCGUUGCCGGGCGCUUGGCGCGGCUGUUAGUCGACGAUGUCCUCGGACUGGCUCUAAAAUUCGAAAGGAUUACCGGUCGGCGACGCUACUGCUUUGGGUACUUUC
RNAcentral lists this ribosomal RNA (452 nucleotides) under Ionympha carne. RNAcentral's name for it is "eukaryotic LSU rRNA". Lineage: Eukaryota; Metazoa; Arthropoda; Insecta; Hymenoptera; Eulophidae. The record is from RNAcentral.